This 107-nucleotide small nuclear RNA is filed under the name Myotis brandtii (Brandt's bat). Lineage: Eukaryota; Metazoa; Chordata; Mammalia; Chiroptera; Vespertilionidae. The record is from RNAcentral.
GUGCUCGUUUCGGCAGCACAUAUACUAAAAUUGAAAUGAUACAGAGAAGAUUAGCAUGGCCCCUGCACAAGGAUGACAUGCAAAUUCGUGAAGUGUUCCAGUAUUAA